GGGGCUGCUUGGUUUUGACAGCUCGUAUGUGGGAACGUAAGCAUGCCGGACGUUGUAAGCAGGUUCCGUAACAGCUAACUUACAUGCCAGAAUAAAUGGCGAAGAAAAUACUUUUGCUUUCGCUGCCUAACAAAGGUUAGUCACGAAGCUGUCUCCCCGGAAGUUCAUCCUCCCGACGUCCGGACCGAGGCAUCGGAAAUGAGAGGAUAGGAAAUGGCCGCCUCGUGCCACUUCCGAAAUUUUAGAGGAUAAGUCAAAGGACGGUUUAGCCUUGGACCAACCUUUGAACGAAAACCAAAGCAAGGAUAAGCAUGUAGAAAGCGUUUUUGCAGCGUGUUUGGACGAGGGUUCGACUCCCUCCAGCUCCACUA
This 371-nucleotide transfer-messenger RNA is filed under the name Bacteroidales bacterium. It matches the Rfam family "transfer-messenger RNA". Rfam says of the family: Bacterial tmRNA, also known as 10Sa RNA or SsrA, is named for its dual tRNA and mRNA-like properties. Its role is to liberate the mRNA from a stalled ribosome. The record is from RNAcentral. Lineage: Bacteria; Pseudomonadati; Bacteroidota; Bacteroidia; Bacteroidales.